Molecule: ribosomal RNA, 460 nt
Filed under: uncultured bacterium
Lineage: Bacteria
Description: partial 16S ribosomal RNA
Rfam family: Bacterial small subunit ribosomal RNA
Source: RNAcentral
CCUACGGGGGGCUGCAGUGAGGAAUAUUGGUCAAUGGACGAGAGUCUGAACCAGCCAAGUAGCGUGAAGGAUGACUGCCCUAUGGGUUGUAAACUUCUUUUAUAUGGGAAUAAAAUGUUCCACGUGUGGGAUUUUGUAUGUACCAUAUGAAUAAGGAUCGGCUAACUCCGUGCCAGCAGCCGCGGUAAUACGGAGGAUCCGAGCGUUAUCCGGAUUUAUUGGGUUUAAAGGGAGCGUAGGUGGAUUGUUAAGUCAGUUGUGAAAGUUUGCGGCUCAACCGUAAAAUUGCAGUUGAAACUGGCAGUCUUGAGUACAGUAGAGGUGGGCGGAAUUCGUGGUGUAGCGGUGAAAGGCUUAGAUAUCACGAAGAACUCCGAUUGCGAAGGCAGCUCACUGGACUGCAACUGACACUGAGGCUCGAAAGUGUGGGUAUCAAACAGGAUUAGAUACCCCAGUAGUC